Molecule: long non-coding RNA, 212 nt
Organism: Oryzias melastigma (Indian medaka)
Lineage: Eukaryota; Metazoa; Chordata; Actinopteri; Beloniformes; Adrianichthyidae
Exons: 2
Source: RefSeq, a predicted model, not a curated record
GCCCCAACGUUGGUCUUCACCCUCUGGUGGAUUUUCAUCCUCUACACAGCAGCAGUGGGGGAAUCUGCCAUCAUUCCUCUGACACCAUCCGCCCUGCACUCGGACGCUUCAAAGGCUCUUCUCUUACGCCUGCUUCUGGAGUUCUACGCUCACCUGUGCAUUUGGCGGCACACCGAUUAAUUCUACCUCCCUAAUAAACACUUUAAUUGUGA